GUAUGUGAGGGUGAUCUGACUAUGAUAUCCGUCACCCCAGUGAUCACCCCAGUGAUCACCAGGGUUGAUUUGGUUGGCAUGUCUUGCGAGGUGGGUGUCCCCUCCUCCCUCUUUCCUUCCUCCUAAAGCUGUGCACUUGGUUGAAGAGGAUGACUUUCCCCGAUAGAGGAGGACUGCUCUUUGGUCAAGGGUGUACAAGUAGCUGUUGUGCCCUGCUAGAACCUCCAAACAAGCUCUCAAGGUCCAUUUGUAGGAGAAUGUAGGGUCGUCAAGCUUCUAAGACUCCCAAUAUACCCAAAUGAGGCACUGCAUGUGGCAGUCUGCCUUU
This 328-nucleotide small nuclear RNA is filed under the name Vulpes vulpes (red fox). RNAcentral's name for it is "7SK RNA (ENSVVUG00000026299.1)". It matches the Rfam family "7SK RNA". From Rfam's summary of the family: 7SK was discovered as an abundant small nuclear RNA in the mid-70s but a possible function has only recently been suggested. Two independent studies have found that 7SK RNA binds the CDK9/cyclin T complex (known as elongation factor P-TEFb). The record is from RNAcentral. Lineage: Eukaryota; Metazoa; Chordata; Mammalia; Carnivora; Canidae.